AAAACAGUCCUUUUCAGGACUACCACAAUAUUCCAUUGAAGAGUUGU
Molecule: non-coding RNA, 47 nt
Organism: Aedes albopictus (Asian tiger mosquito)
Lineage: Eukaryota; Metazoa; Arthropoda; Insecta; Diptera; Culicidae
Source: Rfam